UGGGUCCUGGCUGGAGAUCUCUGCUGCCCCCAGACUCAGAGGAGCCACUCCAGGACUCAGG
MicroRNA precursor from Chlorocebus sabaeus (green monkey), 61 nucleotides. The record is from Ensembl. NCBI's taxonomy places the organism in Eukaryota, Metazoa, Chordata, Mammalia, Primates, Cercopithecidae.